This 1397-nucleotide ribosomal RNA is filed under the name Pedobacter sp. MJ11. Its description in RNAcentral is "bacterial SSU rRNA". It matches the Rfam family "Bacterial small subunit ribosomal RNA". Lineage: Bacteria; Pseudomonadati; Bacteroidota; Sphingobacteriia; Sphingobacteriales; Sphingobacteriaceae. The record is from RNAcentral.
CAUGCAAGUCGAACGAUACUUUCCAGCUUGCUGGGAAGGAAAGUGGCGCACGGGUGCGUAACGCGUAUGCAACCUACCUUAAUCAGGGGGAUAGCCCGAAGAAAUUCGGAUUAACACCGCAUAAAAACACAGGAUAGCAUUAUCCAAUGUUCAAAUAUUUAUAGGAUUAAGAUGGGCAUGCGUGUCAUUAGCUAGUUGGCGGGGUAACGGCCCACCAAGGCGACGAUGACUAGGGGAUCUGAGAGGAUGACCCCCCACACUGGUACUGAGACACGGACCAGACUCCUACGGGAGGCAGCAGUAAGGAAUAUUGGUCAAUGGAGGCAACUCUGAACCAGCCAUGCCGCGUGCAGGAAGACAGCCCUCUGGGUCGUAAACUGCUUUUAUUCGGGAAUAAACCACAUUACGAGUAGUGUGCUGAAUGUACCGAAGGAAUAAGGAUCGGCUAACUCCGUGCCAGCAGCCGCGGUAAUACGGAGGAUCCAAGCGUUAUCCGGAUUUAUUGGGUUUAAAGGGUGCGUAGGCGGCUUAUUAAGUCAGGGGUGAAAGACGGUGGCUCAACCAUCGCAGUGCCCUUGAUACUGAUGAGCUUGAAUACACUAGAGGUAGGCGGAAUGUGACAAGUAGCGGUGAAAUGCAUAGAUAUGUCACAGAACACCGAUUGCGAAGGCAGCUUACUAUGGUGUGAUUGACGCUGAGGCACGAAAGCGUGGGGAUCAAACAGGAUUAGAUACCCUGGUAGUCCACGCCCUAAACGAUGAAUACUCGCUGUUAGCGAUACACAGUUAGCGGCUAAGCGAAAGCGUUAAGUAUUCCACCUGGGGAGUACGCCCGCAAGGGUGAAACUCAAAGGAAUUGACGGGGGCCCGCACAAGCGGAGGAGCAUGUGGUUUAAUUCGAUGAUACGCGAGGAACCUUACCCGGGCUUGAAAGUUAGUGAAUCAUUUAGAGAUAGAUGAGUGAGCAAUCACACGAAACUAGGUGCUGCAUGGCUGUCGUCAGCUCGUGCCGUGAGGUGUUGGGUUAAGUCCCGCAACGAGCGCAACCCCUAUGUUUAGUUGCCAGCACGUUAAGGUGGGGACUCUAAACAGACUGCCUGUGCAAACAGAGAGGAAGGAGGGGACGACGUCAAGUCAUCAUGGCCCUUACGUCCGGGGCUACACACGUGCUACAAUGGAUGGUACAGAGGGCAGCUAGCUGGUAACAGUAUGCGAAUCUCACAAAGCCAUUCACAGUUCGGAUAGAGGUCUGCAACUCGACCUCUUGAAGUUGGAUUCGCUAGUAAUCGCGUAUCAGCAAUGACGCGGUGAAUACGUUCCCGGGCCUUGUACACACCGCCCGUCAAGCCAUGGAAGUUGGGGGUACCUAAAGUAUGUAACCGUAAGGAGCGUCCUAGG